GGCUAUUUGGUUUACAAGUAAUUGAUCACAACCAGUACCAGUUUCAGAUUUCUUUGUUCCUUCUCCACUCCCACUGCUUCACUUGACCAGCCUUAA
This 96-nucleotide Y RNA is filed under the name Microcebus murinus (gray mouse lemur). RNAcentral describes it as "Y RNA (ENSMICG00000023687.3)". It matches the Rfam family "Y RNA", at positions 20 to 96 of the family's 96-position model. From Rfam's summary of the family: Y RNAs are components of the Ro ribonucleoprotein particle (Ro RNP), in association with Ro60 and La proteins. The Y RNAs and Ro60 and La proteins are well conserved, but the function of the Ro RNP is not known. The record is from RNAcentral. Lineage: Eukaryota; Metazoa; Chordata; Mammalia; Primates; Cheirogaleidae.